CGAAAGCCUGACGGAGCAAUACCGCGUGAGGGAUGAAGGCUCGUGGGUCGUAAACCUCUUUUCCCAAGGAAGAAGUUCUGACGGUACUUGGGGAAUAAGCAUCGGCUAAUUCCGUGCCAGCAGCCGCGGUAAUACGGGAGAUGCGAGCGUUAUCCGGAAUCACUGGGCGUAAAGCGUCUGCAGGUUGUUUAGUAAGUCUGCCGUUAAAGACUGAAGCUUAACUUCAGGAGUGCAGCAGAAACUGCUAGACUUGAGUAUGGUAGGGGUAGGAGGAAUUUCUAGUGUAGCGGUGAAAUGCGUAGAUAUUAGGAAGAACACCAUUAGCGAAGGCGUCCUACUGGGCCAUUACUGACACUCAGAGACGAAAGCUAGGGUAGCAAACGGGAUUAGAUACCCCGGUAGUCCUAGCCGUAAACGAUGGAUACUAGAUGUUGCGGGUUUACCUGCGGUGUCGUAGCUAACGCGUUAAGUAUCCCGCCUGGGGAGUACGCACGCAAGUGUGAAACUCAAAGGAAUUGACGGGGGCCCGCACAAGCGGUGGAGCAUGUGGUUUAAUUCGAUGCAACGCGAAGAACCUUACCAGGAUUUGACAUACUCGGAAUUUCUUAUAAUAGAGAAAGUGCCUUCGGGAGCCGAGAUACAGGUGGUGCAUGGCUGUCGUCAGCUCGUGUCGUGAGAUGUGGGUUAAGUCCCGCAACGAGCGCAACCCUUGUCUUUAUUUGCCAUUCUUAAGUGGGGGACUAUAGAGAUACUGCCCGUGAAAAGCGGGAGGAAGGUAAGGAUGACGUCAAGUCAGCAUGCCCCUUAUAUCCUGGGCUACACACGUGCUACAAUGACUAAGACAAUGAGAAGCAAGCUUGCGAAAGUUAGCAAAUCUCCGAAACUUAGCCCAAGUUCGGAUUGCAG
This 906-nucleotide ribosomal RNA is filed under the name Pavlova pinguis. RNAcentral describes it as "bacterial SSU rRNA". It matches the Rfam family "Bacterial small subunit ribosomal RNA", at positions 376 to 1303 of the family's 1533-position model. The record is from RNAcentral. Lineage: Eukaryota; Haptophyta; Pavlovophyceae; Pavlovales; Pavlovaceae.